UGACUGGCUGAAGAAGUAUGUGAACUAUGGAGGAGCUCUCUGAUGAGAACAGACCUCCCCACAGUGUCUCUCCUCCAGAAGACUCCCUCCUCUCGGGUCACCUGCCACGCUACAGUUUCUACCC
Molecule: non-coding RNA, 124 nt
Organism: Labrus bergylta (ballan wrasse)
Lineage: Eukaryota; Metazoa; Chordata; Actinopteri; Labriformes; Labridae
Source: RefSeq, a predicted model, not a curated record